ACUACGGGUGGCAGCAGUGAGGAAUAUUGGUCAAUGGGCGGGAGCCUGAACCAGCCAAGCCGCGUGAGGGAAGAAGGUACAGCGUAUCGUAAACCUCUUUUGUCAGGGAACAAAGGCGGGGACUAGUCCCCGGAUGAGGGUACCUGAAGAAAAAGCAUCGGCUAACUCCGUGCCAGCAGCCGCGGUAAUACGGAGGAUGCGAGGGUUAUCCGGUUGUAGUGGGUUUAAAGGGUGCGCGGGGGGCCUGUUAAGGCAGCGGUAAAAGACCGGGGCUAAACCCAGGCGAGCCGUUGAAACUGGCGGGCUGGAGUUGGAGAGAAGUACGCGGAAUGCGCGGUGUAGCGGUGAAAUGCUUAGAUAUCGCGCAGAACCCCGAUUGCGAAGGCAGCGUACCGGCUCCACACUGACGCUGAGGCACGAAAGCGUGGGUAUCGAACAGGAUUAGAUACCCGAGUAGUC
Molecule: ribosomal RNA, 459 nt
Filed under: uncultured bacterium
Lineage: Bacteria
Description: partial 16S ribosomal RNA
Rfam family: Bacterial small subunit ribosomal RNA
Source: RNAcentral